GGACCGAACCGACUUACGUUGAAAAGUGAGCGGAUGAACUGAGGGUAGCGGAGAAAUUCCAAUCGAACUUGGAGAUAGCUGGUUCUCUCCGAAAUAGCUUUAGGGCUAGCCUCAAGUGAUGAUUAUUGGAGGUAGAGCACUGUUUGGACGAGGGGCCCCUCUCGGGUUACCGAAUUCAGACAAACUCCGAAUGCCAAUUAAUUUAACUUGGGAGUCAGAACAUGGGUGAUAAGGUCCGUGUUCGAAAGGGAAACAGCCCAGACCACCAGCUAAGGUCCCAAAAUAUAUGUUAAGUGGAAAAGGAUGUGGCGUUGCCCAGACAACUAGGAUGUUGGCUUAGAAGCAGCCAUCAUUUAAAGAGUGCGUAAUAGCUCACUAGUCGAGUGACACUGCGCCGAAAAUGUACCGGGGCUAAACAUAUUACCGAAGCUGUGGAUUGUCCUUUGGACAAUGGUAGGAGAGCGUUCUAAGGGCGUCGAAGCAUGAUCGCAAGGACAUGUGGAGCGCUUAGAAGUGAGAAUGCCGGUGUGAGUAGCGAAAGACGGGUGAGAAUCCCGUCCACCGAUUGACUAAGGUUUCCAGAGGAAGGCUCGUCCGCUCUGGGUUAGUCGGGUCCUAAGCUGAGGCCGACAGGC
Molecule: ribosomal RNA, 635 nt
Filed under: Staphylococcus epidermidis
Lineage: Bacteria; Bacillati; Bacillota; Bacilli; Caryophanales; Staphylococcaceae
Description: bacterial LSU rRNA
Rfam family: Bacterial large subunit ribosomal RNA
Source: RNAcentral